UCAAUGGUAAAUCUUAAAGUUUUACAAAGAAUAAUAAAUAGAAAUUAUUAAAUGUAGGUGGCUCAUCAUGCAGUGCAUAUGAGAAUGGCAUCCUUUCAAAGGUUAAGACUGCUCCCCUGAUUCCUACAGCAAAAAAAC
This is a non-coding RNA of Hydra vulgaris (swiftwater hydra), 138 nucleotides long. The record is from RefSeq and is a predicted model, not a curated record. Lineage: Eukaryota; Metazoa; Cnidaria; Hydrozoa; Anthoathecata; Hydridae.